Long non-coding RNA from Capsella rubella, 617 nucleotides. RefSeq lists it as uncharacterized. Lineage: Eukaryota; Viridiplantae; Streptophyta; Magnoliopsida; Brassicales; Brassicaceae. The transcript is spliced from 4 exons. The record is from RefSeq and is a predicted model, not a curated record.
ACUCUCUUCCUCUUCUUCAUCAUCUUCCUCGUCUCUAUCCUCGCCCGCUCAACCGAAAAGCUCGACGAGGCCAGACGAUCCAUCCAGCUAGCCACCGGCUUCGGGGUCGCCACAUUUUCUCCCGACGUUCGCGAUUUCGACGCCGUUUCAAAGGCGGUUGAUGAAUCGGGGCCGAUCGAUGUGUUAACUGUUAACCAAGGCGUGUUUAUUGGGCAACGCAGCGAUUGAUAUAAAGAAGCAACCAAAGAGAUCUGAGGCAACCCUUCUCUCCUCUAGUUUGUGGACACUGUAGUUGGAUUUUUGAUGGCUGGAGUUGGUAAUGUUGACAUAAGGAGGAAGACAAAUCACCUCAUCGUGGAUUCAAAAGGUGACAAAAGGUGACAAAAUCACCUUGGAAAUCUCAGUGCUGGAUUCCGAGCCUUGGAGGAUGAAACUCGGUAAGCUGUGUCCGUCUCCACCGCAAGUCUAAAAAUCAUCCCAAUUGGGUUGUUUUUGGAGAAAGAGGUUUCAUUCAUGUUCUCUUUCUUGUGUUUUUGAACCAAACAACUUACCAAUUGAUCAAUUUAGCCAUAUAUUAACUAAACAUGAUCUAUUAAAGUUUGUCAUUUUAAUGUUUA